AUUGAACGCUGGCGGCAGGCCUAACACAUGCAAGUCGAGCGGUAGAGAGGUGCUUGCAUCUCUUGAGAGCGGCGGACGGGUGAGUAAUGCCUAGGAAUCUGCCUGGUGGUGGGGGAUAACGUUCGGAAACGGACGCUAAUACCGCAUACGUCCUACGGGAGAAAGCGGGGGAUCUUCGGACCUCGCGCCAUUAGAUGAGCCUAGGUCGGAUUAGCUAGUUGGUGAGGUAAUGGCUCACCAAGGCGACGAUCCGUAACUGGUCUGAGAGGAUGAUCAGUCACACUGGAACUGAGACACGGUCCAGACUCCUACGGGAGGCAGCAGUGGGGAAUAUUGGACAAUGGGCGAAAGCCUGAUCCAGCCAUGCCGCGUGUGUGAAGAAGGUCUUCGGAUUGUAAAGCACUUUAAGUUGGGAGGAAGGGUAGUAACCUAAUACGUUGCUACUUUGACGUUACCGACAGAAUAAGCACCGGCUAACUUCGUGCCAGCAG
Molecule: ribosomal RNA, 491 nt
Filed under: uncultured bacterium
Lineage: Bacteria
Description: bacterial SSU rRNA
Rfam family: Bacterial small subunit ribosomal RNA
Source: RNAcentral